UGGAGAUCCGGGCCAAGACCUUCCCUAGAGUCUCGCCCUGGUCCCGCAGCAUGUGCUUCUGACUGCCGUCCAGACAGAAGGAGAUGGUGGAUGACCAUGUGCAGGGCGUAGGCCAGGACCAGUAGCAGGAUGAGGGAAGUGACGAGGCCCAUCAGGAUGGCUGGCGUCAGGAAGGUGGCACAGUCGCUCGCGGGAGAAAACUUACCGGAGACUGGCUGGUGUCGACGGGUUUCUGAGGAGAGAAGGCUUCCUCCGUCAGGUCCAGCUGCUUCUGCCUCUCAUAGCGGAGAUACA
This is a long non-coding RNA of Thunnus maccoyii (southern bluefin tuna), 294 nucleotides long. RefSeq lists it as uncharacterized. NCBI's taxonomy places the organism in Eukaryota, Metazoa, Chordata, Actinopteri, Scombriformes, Scombridae. The transcript is spliced from 3 exons. The record is from RefSeq and is a predicted model, not a curated record.